CCUACGGGUGGCAGCAGUAGGGAAUCUUCCACAAUGGACGAAAGUCUGAUGGAGCAACGCCGCGUGAGUGAAGAAGGGUUUCGGCUCGUAAAGCUCUGUUGGUAGUGAAGAAAGAUAGAGGUAGUAACUGGCCUUUAUUUGACGGUAAUUACUUAGAAAGUCACGGCUAACUACGUGCCAGCAGCCGCGGUAAUACGUAGGUGGCAAGCGUUGUCCGGAUUUAUUGGGCGUAAAGCGAGUGCAGGCGGUUCAAUAAGUCUGAUGUGAAAGCCUUCGGCUCAACCGGAGAAUUGCAUCAGAAACUGUUGAACUUGAGUGCAGAAGAGGAGAGUGGAACUCCAUGUGUAGCGGUGGAAUGCGUAGAUAUAUGGAAGAACACCAGUGGCGAAGGCGGCUCUCUGGUCUGCAACUGACGCUGAGGCUCGAAAGCAUGGGUAGCG
RNAcentral lists this ribosomal RNA (440 nucleotides) under uncultured bacterium. RNAcentral describes it as "bacterial SSU rRNA". It matches the Rfam family "Bacterial small subunit ribosomal RNA", at positions 338 to 770 of the family's 1533-position model. The record is from RNAcentral.